RNAcentral lists this transfer RNA (82 nucleotides) under Richelia intracellularis HH01. It matches the Rfam family "tRNA". Rfam says of the family: Transfer RNA (tRNA) molecules are approximately 80 nucleotides in length. Their secondary structure includes four short double-helical elements and three loops (D, anti-codon, and T loops). The record is from Rfam by way of RNAcentral. RNAcentral also lists the same sequence under 1 other name. Lineage: Bacteria; Bacillati; Cyanobacteriota; Cyanophyceae; Nostocales; Nostocaceae.
GCGGAUGUGGCGGAAUUGGCAGACGCGCUAGGUUUAGGUCCUAGUGCCGCAAGGCGUGAAGGUUCAAGUCCUUUCAUCCGCA